CCUACGGGUGGCUGCAGUGAGGAAUAUUGGUCAAUGGGCGCGAGCCUGAACCAGCCAAGUAGCGUGAAGGAUGACUGCCCUACGGGUUGUAAACUUCUUUUAUAUGGGAAUAAAGUGAGGAACGUGUUCCUUUUUGUAUGUACCAUAUGCAUAAGCAUCGGCUAACUCCGUGCCAGCAGCCGCGGUAAUACGGAGGAUGCGAGCGUUAUCCGGAUUUAUUGGGUUUAAAGGGUGCGUAGGUGGUUAAUUAAGUCAGCGGUGAAAGUUUGUGGCUCAACCAUGAAAUUGCCGUUGAAACUGGUUGACUUGGGUAUAUUUGAGGUAGGCGGAAUGCGUGGUGUAGCGGUGAAAUGCAUAGAUAUCACGCAGAACUCCGAUUGCGAAGGCAGCUUACUAAACUAUAACUGACACUGAAGCACGAAAGCGUGGGGAUCAAACAGGAUUAGAUACCCUUGUAGUC
This 460-nucleotide ribosomal RNA is filed under the name uncultured bacterium. RNAcentral's name for it is "partial 16S ribosomal RNA". It matches the Rfam family "Bacterial small subunit ribosomal RNA", at positions 338 to 795 of the family's 1533-position model. The record is from RNAcentral.